CCUACGGGAGGCAGCAGUGGGGAAUAUUGCGCAAUGGGGGAAACCCUGACGCAGCAACGCCGCGUGAGUGAGGAAGGACUUCGGUCUGUAAAGCUCUGUUAAUGUGGAAAAAUGUUAGUUGGUCUAAUAGGCCGAUUAAUUGAUGGUACACAUAGAGGAAGCACCGGCUAACUUCGUGCCAGCAGCCGCGGUAAUACGAAGGGUGCAAGCGUUGUUCGGAUUUAUUGGGCGUAAAGCGCGCGUAGGCGGACCUGCAAGUCAGAUGUGAAAUCUCGGGGCUCAACCUCGAAACUGCGUCUGAAACUACAGGUCUAGAAUCUUGGAGGGGGAAGGGGAAUUUCUCAUGUAGGGGUAAAAUCCGUAGAUAUGAGAAGGAACACCAGAGGCGAAGGCGCCUUCCUGGACAAGUAUUGACGCGGAGGCGCGAAAGCGUGGGGAUCAAACAGGAUUAGAUACCCUGGUAGUCCCACGCUAGUAACGAUAGAACACUAGAUAUUAGUCGAGAUUAGUACCGUCCGUCAGUGUCGUA
This 529-nucleotide ribosomal RNA is filed under the name uncultured bacterium. Its description in RNAcentral is "bacterial SSU rRNA". It matches the Rfam family "Bacterial small subunit ribosomal RNA", at positions 338 to 850 of the family's 1533-position model. The record is from RNAcentral.